Molecule: long non-coding RNA, 875 nt
Filed under: Rattus norvegicus (Norway rat)
Lineage: Eukaryota; Metazoa; Chordata; Mammalia; Rodentia; Muridae
Description: long non-coding RNA NONRATT014910
Source: RNAcentral
CAAAAAGAUGCUGUUAAUAAGCUGUUAGGAAACUUGAAAAAUUGCUUUCUUGCCUAAUUACCUAGAAACAAAUAGAAUCACUUUGCUCUUAGAAGGAGUCAAAGUCUGCCAUUUUCAAUUUUCAGAGUCUAUUGACUGUAAUCUUGCUGCUUAUAUGUACGUGUGCUUAUGUGCGAUCCCUGGCACCCAGCAUCCUGGACAGAAAUAAAACUGGACUAUUGGGGAUAUUUUGGAAGUGUGCCCGAAUUGGUGAACGCAAGAGUCCUUAUGUCGCCAUAUGCUGUAUAGUGAUGGCCUUCAGCAUCCUCUUCAUACAGUAGCUUUGGAAACUACCAGCACGUGAUUGCCAUCAGACUGUACACAGGACGUGCCUCCAGAAAAUAACGGGAGAAUGGUUAAGCCUCUUGUCUCUGAACAUGGAAUGAGAUAAAUUUCGAGAUGCUGUUCUCUCUUUUUAUGCUAUUGGACCAAUGAGCUGUAUGAAUAAUUACGAUGUAACAGUUAAUACAUAGGAACGUGAUUGCAGCCAUCGACCUCGGUUCUCUCACUCCAGUAUUACACUCUACAAACGUCAUCCUGUUACGUCAGGACCGCUUUUCCUAAGGUUCUCCAGGCACGAAGUAGAAACCCAGUGGCCAGUUCCACAGGCUUCUUUGACUAGGGCUUCAAAAUAAUGUCUUCACACAGUGAUACCUUCUAGCGACUGGCCUAUUUUUAUUGAGAAAAGAAAAUGGUUCUAUUUUUGUUGUUACUGUUCUUAGGAAUUGCAUUCAUAUUUAAACCCUUUUGAUUGCUAACCAGAGUACCUCUAUUCUUGGCAAAUUCUGUACUUUAUUACAGGUGUUUAAAAUAGUUUAAACAAAACUGCAUUUCUU